UUUGAACUUCUAGGGACGCGCCUCAGAAACGAGGCUUUCACUUCGGUGACCUUAGGAGAGGUGCUGCAUGGCUGUCGUCAGCUCGUGUCGUGAGAUGUUGGGUUAAGUCCCGCAACGAGCGCAACCCUUAGCCUUAGUUGCCAUCAGGUAAAGCUGGGAACUCUAGGGGCGACUGCCGGUGAUAAACCGGAGGAAGGUGGGGGACGACGUCAAGUCAUCAUGGCCUUUAUGCCUAGGGCUACACACGUGCUACAAUGGCCGGGGACAGAGGGCUGCGAACCCGCGAGGGGGAGCCAAUCCCAGAAACCCGGUCUCAGUUCGGAUUGAAGUCUGCAACUCGACUUCAUGAAGUUGGAAUCGCUAGUAAUCGCGGAUCAGCAAUGCCGCGGUGAAUACGUUCCCGGGCCUUGUACACACCGCCCGUCACAUCACGGAAGCCGGGUGCACUAGAAGUCGUUAACCCAACCUUUCGGGAGGGAGACGCCGACGGUGUGCUUGGUGACUGGGGUGGAAGUCGUAACAAGGUAACC
This 530-nucleotide ribosomal RNA is filed under the name uncultured Acidobacteriota bacterium. Its description in RNAcentral is "bacterial SSU rRNA". It matches the Rfam family "Bacterial small subunit ribosomal RNA", at positions 980 to 1501 of the family's 1533-position model. The record is from RNAcentral. Lineage: Bacteria; Pseudomonadati; Acidobacteriota.